UAAAAACUCAAAUCGGGAAGGAUGAAGAAUCUUCGACACGAAGGUUCGAGCCGAGCGAAGCGAGACAGCGUUGCGCAGCAACGACCCGCAGGGCGAGGCCAGUGGCCGAGUAAUCCUUCCCCCACCACCA
This 130-nucleotide small RNA is filed under the name Rahnella aquatilis. RNAcentral's name for it is "RtT sRNA". It matches the Rfam family "RtT RNA". From Rfam's summary of the family: This family represents a bacterial cis-regulatory element known as RtT RNA. RNAcentral also lists the same sequence under 2 other names. The record is from RNAcentral. Lineage: Bacteria; Pseudomonadati; Pseudomonadota; Gammaproteobacteria; Enterobacterales; Yersiniaceae.